UGUAAGCGUAUACCAAAGUUGUUGCAGUUAAAACGCUCGUAGUCGGAAUUUGGCAGUUCCGGAAGUGUGCACGUCGUGUGCGCACUUUGCGGGGACUGCUUUUGUGGUCUUGCGUAGGAUGAGACACUUUCAUUAGUGAACGUCCUCACGCAACCACUCUUUACUGUGAGAAAAUCAGAGUGCUCAAAGCAGGCAUUUGCCGUGAAUGUAUUAGCAUGGAAUAAUAGAAUAGGACUCGGUUCUAUUUUGUUGGUUUGUUGGGACUGAGUAAUGAUUAAGAGGGACAGUUGGGGGCAUUUGUAUUCCGGCGCUAGAGGUGAAAUUCUUAGAUUGCCGGAAGACAAACUGCUGCGAAAGCGUCUGCCAAGGAUGUUUUCAUUGA
This 382-nucleotide ribosomal RNA is filed under the name uncultured eukaryote. RNAcentral's name for it is "partial 18S ribosomal RNA". It matches the Rfam family "Eukaryotic small subunit ribosomal RNA", at positions 592 to 976 of the family's 1831-position model. The record is from RNAcentral.